UUUCCGUAGGUGAACCUGCGGAAGGAUCAUUAUUGGAUUUUGAAACUUCAGGCUGCUGCUGGCUCUCCUCGGAGGGCAUGUGCACGCUUGUUGUCCAUUAUUUCUCCCACUGUGCACAAAUUGUAGACCUUUCAGUAGGCCUAUGUUGUUUUCCACAAUCUCUGAAUGUAAUAGAAUGGUUUUGAAUCUUGGGAAAUACAAUACAACUUUCAGCAACGGAUCUCUUGGCUCUC
Molecule: unclassified non-coding RNA, 233 nt
Filed under: plant metagenome
Description: partial contains small subunit ribosomal RNA, internal transcribed spacer 1, and 5.8S ribosomal RNA
Source: RNAcentral